RNAcentral lists this ribosomal RNA (468 nucleotides) under uncultured bacterium. Its description in RNAcentral is "partial 16S ribosomal RNA". It matches the Rfam family "Bacterial small subunit ribosomal RNA", at positions 28 to 507 of the family's 1533-position model. The record is from RNAcentral.
GACGAGCGCUGGCGGCGUGCUUAACACAUGCAAGUCGAACGGAAAGGCCCUGCUUUUGUGGGGUGCUCGAGUGGCGAACGGGUGAGUAACACGUGAGUAACCUGCCCUUGACUUUGGGAUAACUUCAGGAAACUGGGGCUAAUACCGGAUAGGAGCUCCUGCUGCAUGGUGGGGGUUGGAAAGUUUCGGCGGUUGGGGAUGGACUCGCGGCUUAUCAGCUUGUUGGUGGGGUAGUGGCUUACCAAGGCUUUGACGGGUAGCCGGCCUGAGAGGGUGACCGGCCAAAUUGGGACUGAGAUACGGCCCAGACUCCUACGGGAGGCAGCAGUGGGGAAUAUUGCACAAUGGGCGGAAGCCUGAUGAAGUAACGCCGCGUGCGGGAUGACGGCCUUCGGUUUGUAAACCGCUUUCGCCUGUGACGAAGCGUGAGUGACGGUAAUGGGUAAAGAAGCACCGGCUAACUACGUG